GAUGCUCGUGAGAGUCACACACACACACACACACACUAAUAUAACACACUCCAGUGCUCACGUCACAGUGCCAUCAAAUAUAAUGUGUAAGACAGCACUCAGUAAACGCAGUUCCAAAUCCUUUAGGGUUAGGUAGAAUGGUAGAAACACUGAAACUAGCAUCUCCUUUUGUGUUCCACAGAACAAAGAAAGUCUUGGAUUUGGAACAAGGCGGCGGUGAGUAAAUGGCACAAUUUUCAUUUUUGGUUGAUCCCAUAAAAGUAUCCCAGAAAGGAUAAUUGUCUCAUCAUUGACUCACCCUCAUGCCAUCUCAAACUCGUUUGACUUUCUUUCUUCUGCAGAAUCACUGGAGAUAUGAUGUAAAUAUAUUGAUUAAAUGCAAGUCAAAGGGGCUCAACAGUGUCAAGCUGCAAUAAGGACAUGAAGCCAUCAUAAUAUGACUCUUCUGAAGAGAUACGACCAAAAUGCAGCUCCUUUUUUACUAUAAAUCUUGUCAUCUGCAGUCUCAUUGGCACGAUCGUGAUUUUAAGCUUGUUCACACACUUCCUCAUGCUUGACGCAGAGUUCCAGGUUUGCGGUUAUCCAGGUUCAAUAGGAUAUCAGACCUGGUAACCAUCUGCAGUGUCAGCGAAUCACAAGAAUGCCAAGAUUUAUAAUGAAUAAUGACUAAUAAAUUUGACUGGAUCAUGCAGAGUGCUAAACAGUGCGGCACAGACCACACAACCUGAAACAAACCCAGGAAGUAUUUUGUACUAUGGAGAAUCUCAUAAGGCCAGACAGACAGCUCUUGAUUGUCUUCAGAUAUCCCAAGAGAUGACAUAAAACAACAUUUAAAACAAAUCAUAACAAGAUCCAAAAUUAAAAUUACAUGAUCAAACCUUAUAACAUACAGUGGCAAGAAAUAGUAUGUGAAUUACCUGCAUUUAUUUAAAAUCUGAAACAAUAAUGAACAAACACAAAAUUCAAACAUUCACAGUGCUGUGGAGAAAGUAAGUGAACCCCAUAGGCUAAUGAUGUCAACAAAAGCUAAUUAGAGUGAGGAGUUGGCAAACCCGGCAUCCAAUUAAUGUAACAAGAUUGUAGGCAAACUCAAACAUUUUGAGUUUGCUCUUCACAUGAAGCAUCUGAUGACGUGCACUGAAAGAGAUCUCAGAAGACCUGCGAUCAAGAAUUGUUGCUUUGCAUAAAGCUGGAAAGGGUUAAAUUGAUCUGGAAGAGCUUAAAUAUUCAUUGUCCACGGUUAGACAAACUGUCUAUAAAUGGAGAUGAUUUAGUACUAUAGGUACUCUCACUAGAAGUGGCCGUUAGAUAUUCAUCUGUCCACAGUGAGACAAACUGUCUAUAAAUGGAGAUGAUUUAGUACUAUAGGUACUCUCUCUAGAAGUGGCCGUUAGAUAUUCAUCUGUCCACAGUUAGACAAACUGUCUAUAAAUGGAGAUGAUUUAGUACUAUAGGUACUCUCUCUAGAAGUGGCCGUUAGAUAUUCAUCUGUCCACAGUUAGACAAACUGUCUAUAAAUGGAGAUGAUUUAGUACUACAGGUACUCUCUCUAGAAGUGGCCGUUAGAUAUUAAUCUGUCCACAGUUAGACAAACUGUCUAUAUAUGGAGAUGAUUUAGUACUAUAGGUACUCUCACUAGAAGUGGCCGUUAGAUAUUCAUCUGUGCACAGUUAGACAAACUGUCUAUAAAUGGAGAUGAUUUAGUACUAUAGGUACUCUCACUAGAAGUGGCCGUUAGAUAUUCAUCUGUACACAGUUAGACAAACUGUCUAUAAAUGGAGAUGAUUUAGUACUAUAGGUACUCUCUCUAGAAGUGGCCGUUAGAUAUUCAUCUGUUCACAGUUAGACAAACUGUCUAUAAACGGAGAUGAUUUAGUACUAUAGGUACUCUCACUAGAAGUGGCCGUUAGAUAUUCAUCUGUCCACGGUUAGACAAACUGUCUAUAAAUGGAGAUGAUUUAGUACUAUAGGUACUCUCAAUAGAAGUGGCCGUUAGAUAUUCAUCUGUCCACAGUUAGACAAACUGUCUAUAAAUGGAGAUGAUUUAGUACUAUAGGUACUCUCUCUAGAAGUGGCCGUUAGAUAUUCAUCUGUUCACAGUUAGACAAACUGUCUAUAAACGGAGAUGAUUUAGUACUAUAGGUACUCUCACUAGAAGUGGCCGUUAGAUAUUCAUCUGUCCACAGUUACACAAACUGUCUAUAAAUGGAGAUGAUUUAGUACUAUAGGUACUCUCACUAGAAGUGGCCGUUAGAUAUUCAUCUGUCCACAGUUACACAAACUGUCUAUAAAUGGAGAUGAUUUAGUACUAUAGGUACUCUCACUAGAAGUGGCCGUUAGAUAUUCAUCUGUCCACGGUUAGACAAACUGUCUAUAUAUGGAGAUGAUAUAGUACUAUAGGUACUCUCACUAGAAGUGGCCGUUAGAUAUUCAUCUGUCCACGGUUAGACAAACUGUCUAUAAAUGGAGAUGAUUUAGUACUAUAGGUACUCUCAAUAGAAGUGGCCGUUAGAUAUUCAUCUGUCCACAGUUAGACAAACUGUCUAUAAAUGGAGAUGAUUUAGUACUAUAGGUACUCUCUCUAGAAGUGGCCGUUAGAUAUUCAUCUGUUCACAGUUAGACAAACUGUCUAUAAACGGAGAUGAUUUAGUACUAUAGGUACUCUCACUAGAAGUGGCCGUUAGAUAUUCAUCUGUCCACAGUUACACAAACUGUCUAUAAAUGGAGAUGAUUUAGUACUAUAGGUACUCUCACUAGAAGUGGCCGUUAGAUAUUCAUCUGUCCACAGUUAGACAAACUGUCUAUAUAUGGAGAUGAUAUAGUACUAUAGGUACUCUCACUAGAAGUGGCCGUUAGAUAUUCAUCUGUCCACGGUUAGACAAACUGUCUAUAAAUGGAGAUGAUUUAGUACUACAGGUACUCUCUCUAGAAGUGGCCGUUAGAUAUUAAUCUGUCCACAGUUAGACAAACUGUCUAUAUAUGGAGAUGAUUUAGUACUAUAGGUACUCUCUCUAGAAGUGGCCGUUAUAUAUUCAUCUGUCCACAGUUAGACAAACUGUCUAUAAAUGGAGAUGAUUUAGUACUAUAGGUACUCUCACUAGAAGUGGCCGUUAGAUAUUCAUCUGUCCACAGUUAGACAAACUGUCUAUAAAUGGAGAUGAUUUAGUACUAUAGGUACUCUCACUAGAAGUGGCCGUUAGAUAUUCAUCUGCCCACAGUUAGACAAACUGUCUAUAAAUGGAGAUGAUUUAGUACUAUAGGUACUCUCACUAGAAGUGGCCGUUAGAUAUUCAUCUGUCCACAGUUAGACAAACUGUCUAUAAAUGGAGAUGAUUUAGUACUAUAGGUACUCUCACUAGAAGUGGCCGUUAGAUAUUCAUCUGUCCACAGUUAGACAAACUGUCUAUAAAUGGAGAUGAUUUAGUACUAUAGGUACUCUCACUAGAA
Xyrauchen texanus (razorback sucker) is the source of this 3447-nucleotide long non-coding RNA. RefSeq lists it as uncharacterized. The record is from RefSeq and is a predicted model, not a curated record. The transcript has 3 exons. NCBI's taxonomy places the organism in Eukaryota, Metazoa, Chordata, Actinopteri, Cypriniformes, Catostomidae.